Molecule: long non-coding RNA, 208 nt
Filed under: Mytilus galloprovincialis (Mediterranean mussel)
Lineage: Eukaryota; Metazoa; Mollusca; Bivalvia; Mytilida; Mytilidae
Source: RNAcentral
CCCGCUUACAAUUUUGUCAGAUUCCCGUAUCCUGCUUACACCAUGUAUGUAAGUAAUUCUCAUUUUUAUGUUAUUUCCUGUGUCCCGCUAGACUUCAUUUCCCAUUUUUCACAGCACAAUAAUUUGACUUUCAUGUCAGGCUUACAAAAAAACGGCAAUCUUGUGUCACGCCUAGACCCACUAUUCAGACAAAAACAAACAGUAUUUU